GAUGAACGCUGGCGGCGUGCCUAAUACAUGCAAGUCGAACGCUUCACUUCGGUGAAGAGUGGCGAACGGGUGAGUAAUACAUAAGUAACCUGGCAUCUACAGGGGGAUAACUGAUGGAAACGUCAGCUAAGACCGCAUAGGUGUAGAGAUCGCAUGAACUCUAUAUGAAAAGUGCUACGGGACUGGUAGAUGAUGGACUUAUGGCGCAUUAGCUUGUUGGUAGGGUAACGGCCUACCAAGGCGACGAUGCGUAGCCGACCUGAGAGGGUGACCGGCCACACUGGGACUGAGACACGGCCCAGACUCCUACGGGAGGCAGCAGUAGGGAAUUUUCGGCAAUGGGGGAAACCCUGACCGAGCAACGCCGCGUGAAGGAAGAAGUAAUUCGUUAUGUAAACUUCUGUCAUAGAGGAAGAACGGUGGAUAUAGGGAAUGAUAUCCAAGUGACGGUACUCUAUAAGAAAG
This 465-nucleotide ribosomal RNA is filed under the name uncultured bacterium. RNAcentral's name for it is "bacterial SSU rRNA". It matches the Rfam family "Bacterial small subunit ribosomal RNA", at positions 28 to 490 of the family's 1533-position model. The record is from RNAcentral.